GCAUAACGCGAAGAACCUUACCUAGGCUUGACAUGCAUCUCUAAGCACGUGAAAGCGUGUGACCCUUCGGGGAAGUUUGCACAGGUGCUGCAUGGCCGUCGUCAGCUCGUGUCGUGAGAUGUUGGGUUAAGUCCCGCAACGAGCGCAACCCUUGUGACUAGUUGCCAACAGGUCAAGCUGGGCACUCUAGCCAGACUGCCGGUGACGAACCGGAGGAAGGUGGGACGACGUCAAGUCAUCAUGCCCCUUACGUCUUGGGCUACACACGUCCUACAAUGGCCGGAACAAAGGGCUGCAAGCUAGCGAUAGCAAGCGAAUCCCAAAAAUCCGGACCUCAGUUCAGAUUGCAGGCUGCAACUCGCCUGCAUGAAGGCGGAAUCGCUAGUAAACGCAGAUCAGCAUGCUGCGUUGAAUACGUUCCCGGGUCUUGUACACACCGAGUCGGUGGGGGAGGGCGAAGGGCACGACAGGGGGGGAUA
RNAcentral lists this ribosomal RNA (479 nucleotides) under uncultured bacterium. Its description in RNAcentral is "bacterial SSU rRNA". It matches the Rfam family "Bacterial small subunit ribosomal RNA", at positions 954 to 1436 of the family's 1533-position model. The record is from RNAcentral.